Molecule: non-coding RNA, 456 nt
Filed under: Pongo abelii (Sumatran orangutan)
Lineage: Eukaryota; Metazoa; Chordata; Mammalia; Primates; Hominidae
Source: RNAcentral
GCAAGAGGGCAUAGAGAGAAAUGUCCAAGUACAGUACCUUGGGGAACAUUUAAUCUAGGGGAUGAGGGGAAGAAAUGGAGUCCCGGAGGAUGUUACAGAAAUGAAAGGAGAAGAAAGCAUGAAGAAACUAAAAGAAUUUCAUUAGUAUCAUAUGCCUUGGAGCUGUCAAGAAAGAAAAACAAACAAAAAAGAUUACUAAAUUUUGAGACUAAGAUUACUGUUCUUGAAAGGAACUGCUUCAUCAGAGAGGUCUGGUCCUCAGGCUGUGAGUGAUGUGCCUUAGGGGCAGGAGGAAAGUCAAGUCCUCCUGGGCCUUGGAUGACUCUCUUGCAAGAAGACAUUCUGUGAAUACAUUCUUGAGACUGGAAGCAGCAACCAGAAUAACUAGAUGAUUACUAUUCUCUUCAUGUGGUCAAAGCAUUUAUAGUAUUCGCUUAAUAAAACUCAUGAAAUCUC